ACCGUGGCUAUCAUGACACCUUGUUGUCUGACGUGAUACGUACUUAUACCAGGUCACGUGGUUCUCCCAUUGGUAGCCAAUCAGCGACAGUCCGUGUUUAUUAAGUCGCUAAUUAAGUCGCUAAUUAGCAUAGCGAGGUCAGUCGUGUAGUGUGUAGCGUGUAGCCAGCCACUGAGAUCAGACUAUACUCAGGCCAAUUGCAACAAACUUGAGAUCCUAGCUCGCACAAUGGGUGCCGGUACCGGGUCCGGCAAAGGCCGGCUGUGUCCGGGCAUCAUUUGGUCCUUCUGCUGGCUCGUGUUCCUCAUCGUGUUCGGCUGGCCCGUGGCUUUCUUCAUCGCCUGGCUCUACAUCCUGCUGCUGCCCUUCAGCGCGUGCAUUGACCCCGUCAAGAAUGUGUGUGAGUCGAUCCUAAAGGUCGUCCAGCUGCCCCUGACAUGCGCAGAAGGCAUCACGGACAUGAAGCCGUUGUGCAAAUAGUGGACAUGCAAUUCAGCUUUGUUUUAACGUCAAUUUUCUUAUUUCUGAUGUUUUAACGCGUCAGCUUAUUAUUUGUGAUAUUUUAACGUCAGCUUAUUAUUUGUGAUAUUUUAAUGUCAACUUAUUAUUUGUGAUAUUUUAAUGUCAGUUUAUUUUUUGUGAUAUUUUAACGUCAGCUUAUUAUUUGUGAUAUUUUAAUGUCAACUUAUUAUUUGUGAUAUUUUAAUGUCAGCUUAUUAUUUGUGAUAUUUUAAUGUCAGCUUAUUAUUUGUGAUAUUUUAAUGUCAGCUUAUUAUUUGUGAUAUUUUAACGUCAGCUUAUUAUUUGUGAUAUUUUAACGUCAGCUUAUUAUUUGUGAUAUUUUAAUGUCAGCUUAUUAUUUGUGAUAUUUUAAUGUCAGCUUAUUAUUUGUGAUAUUUUAAUGUCAGCUUAUUAUUUGUGAUAUUUUAACGUCAGCUUAUUAUUUGUGAUAUUUUAAUGUCAGCUUAUUAUUUGUGAUAUUUUAAUGUCAGCUUAUUAUUUGUGAUAUUUUAACGUCAGCUUAUUAUUUGUGAUAUUUUAAUGUCAGCUUAUUAUUUGUGAUAUUUUAAUGUCAGCUUAUUAUUUGUGAUAUUUUAACGUUGUGAUAUGUAAAUAUUUACUUUGUCAUUUUUAUGUGAACAAAUAAACUUUGGAACAGCAGACAAUUAAA
Physella acuta is the source of this 1171-nucleotide long non-coding RNA. RefSeq lists it as uncharacterized. NCBI's taxonomy places the organism in Eukaryota, Metazoa, Mollusca, Gastropoda, Physidae. The record is from RefSeq and is a predicted model, not a curated record.